AAACGCGUCUCGUUCAUUGAGACCCGCGAACAUCACAAGGUGCUGCGCAGUAGGCCGAGCACAACGAGUAGUGUCUGCGAAGGUGAAACUGCGACGAGUGGGCAUUUUCAGGUUUUCCAUGAUGAUUAAAAGCAAAUUCCAUGACUGCCCCGUCUGCUUGGAAAGCUCUGUGCACUGAAAACAAACCCUCGAGUUGUAAAAAAAAAUCAGGAGCUCCAUAUAUGGAGCGAGAAGAGUUGCGCCCCGAGAAGCCACGACCUGUAGCCCGAA
Molecule: long non-coding RNA, 270 nt
Organism: Rhipicephalus microplus (southern cattle tick)
Lineage: Eukaryota; Metazoa; Arthropoda; Arachnida; Ixodida; Ixodidae
Source: RefSeq, a predicted model, not a curated record